RNAcentral lists this unclassified non-coding RNA (89 nucleotides) under Pseudomonas arsenicoxydans. Lineage: Bacteria; Pseudomonadati; Pseudomonadota; Gammaproteobacteria; Pseudomonadales; Pseudomonadaceae. The record is from RNAcentral.
UGUGGGAGCGGGCUUGCCCGCGAUGGCGUCAUGCCAGACAAACUGAUGUCGUCUGACACUCCGUUAUCGCGGGCAAGCCCGCUCCCACA